AAGUGCGGCAUAGCCUUGGCCGUGACCCCGGUUUCCUGUGUUGCGUACCUACACGAUGGCAUUCGUUUGUCCCAACGUCCCUCGUUCGUUUAGUGGUCCGUUUCUAAGCGGUUCACGAGACGAAAGUCGCAGCAUGACCCGUUACCCGCGUCGCAUCUAUGCCGUCGCGGUGAACAGGGCAUCGCUCGAGCUCUUGGAUACGGAAAGCACUGAGGGCAUUGAGGUCUCGCGGCCUCUUAUCGUUGCCCGAGCAUGCAUCAGACGUGAACGAUGCACGACCGUCGCUCCCGUCUCGGCCCGGCCGUGCGGUGACGACGUCGUUCAGGAAUGCUACCUGGUUGAUCCUGCCAG
Molecule: unclassified non-coding RNA, 351 nt
Filed under: Dischidia acutifolia
Lineage: Eukaryota; Viridiplantae; Streptophyta; Magnoliopsida; Gentianales; Apocynaceae
Description: partial external transcribed spacer
Source: RNAcentral